Molecule: ribosomal RNA, 497 nt
Filed under: uncultured bacterium
Lineage: Bacteria
Description: partial 16S ribosomal RNA
Rfam family: Bacterial small subunit ribosomal RNA
Source: RNAcentral
GAUGAACGCUGGCGGCGUGCCUAAUACAUGCAAGUCGAGCGAACAGACGAGGAGCUUGCUCCUCUGACGUUAGCGGCGGACGGGUGAGUAACACGUGGAUAACCUACCUAUAAGACUGGGAUAACUUCGGGAAACCGGAGCUAAUACCGGAUAAUAUAUUGAACCGCAUGGUUCAAUAGUGAAAGACGGUUUCGCUGUCACUUAUAGAUGGAUCCGCGCCGCAUUAGCUAGUUGGUAAGGUAACGGCUUACCAAGGCAACGAUGCGUAGCCGACCUGAGAGGGUGAUCGGCCACACUGGAACUGAGACACGGUCCAGACUCCUACGGGAGGCAGCAGUGGGGAAUCUUCCGCAAUGGGCGAAAGCCUGACGGAGCAACGCCGCGUGAGUGAUGAAGGUCUUCGGAUCGUAAAACUCUGUUAUUAGGGAAGAACAAAUGUGUAAGUAACUAUGCACGUCUUGACGGUACCUAAUCAGAAAGCCACGGCUAACUACGUG